GUCCUUUUGAGAUUUAUUUAAGGUUUAACCUGCCCACUGAUUUAUUGAAGGGCCGCAGUAUUUUGACUGUGCAAAGGUAGCAUAAUCAUUAGUUUUUUAAUUAAAAGCUUGUAUGAAGGGUUGGACGAGGUAAAUUCUGUCUCUGAAUAAUUAAUUUUAGAAUUUAAUUUUUGAGUUAAAAAGCUUAAAUUAAUUUAAAAGACGAGAAGACCCUAUAGAUCUUUAUAAUAAAUUUAUUAGUUAUAUAUAGGAUUAUUUAAUUAAUUAAUAGAUUUAUUAUUUUAUUGGGGUAAUAAAAAGAUUUAAAUAAUUCUUUUUUUUAUUAUAACAUUAAUAAAUGAAUUUAUGAUCCAAUAUUAUUGAUUAUAAGAUUAAGUUACCUUAGGGAUAACAGCGUAAUUUUUUUAGAGAGUUCUUAUCGAUAAAAAAGUUUGCGACCUCGAUGUUGGAUUAAAAAUUAUUUUAGGUGUAGAAGCUUGAAAUUUUGGUCUGUUCGACCAUUAAAUUUUUACAUGAUCUGAGUUCAGACCGGCGUAAGCCAGGUCGGUUUCUAUCUUUAGAAAAAUUUUAGAUUUUAGUACGAAAGGACCAAAUUUAAGGUAUAUUUAUAUUUGAGGGUGUGAUUAU
RNAcentral lists this ribosomal RNA (627 nucleotides) under Ilybius fuliginosus. RNAcentral describes it as "partial 16S ribosomal RNA". It matches the Rfam family "Bacterial large subunit ribosomal RNA", at positions 1829 to 2730 of the family's 2925-position model. Lineage: Eukaryota; Metazoa; Arthropoda; Insecta; Coleoptera; Dytiscidae. The record is from RNAcentral.